This 442-nucleotide long non-coding RNA is filed under the name Glycine max (soybean). RNAcentral describes it as "long non-coding RNA (GMAX_LNC000979)". The record is from RNAcentral. Lineage: Eukaryota; Viridiplantae; Streptophyta; Magnoliopsida; Fabales; Fabaceae.
UUAGUAGUGAUGGCUAAAAAUCAUCACUAUGCUAAUAAAAAAUAAUUUUUUAAAGUGUAUUUUGUGGGAGGUCAGAAACUCAAAAAAUGUUAUGUUAGGACUGUUUAUCAUGCAAUGAUUAUAUGUCAUGGGAGAAAAAUAUUCACAAUAUUUUAAAACACGAGACAAACUCUGCAGGAACAUUAGGGUAAAUUUUUCAAGAAAUAAAUAAAUUAAGGAAAAAAAAUGCAAUGAAGCCUAUGUUAUGUUACUUAUGGUAAUAUGAUAAAAACAUACUCCUAACAAUACAUAAACACAUUACAUCUUGUACUGAUUAAUUGAGAAUAAUAUAUGUGACCUUUUAGUUGUUUGCUUGUCUCUAAUAAGUAAUUCUCAUUGACCAUGUACCAUGGGGAUAAUUGAAUAGGGAAGCUUUCUUAGCAGCAGCGUAAUGGUAGAGAAA